UACGGAAGGCAGCAGUGGGGAAUAUUGCACAAUGGGCGAAAGCCUGAUGCAGCUAUGCCGCGUGUAUGAAGAAGGCCUUAGGGUUGUAAAGUACUUUCAUCGGGGAGGAAAAAACAAAACUAAUAAUUUUAUUUCUUGACGUUACCCGAAAAAGAAGCACCGGCUAACUCCGUGCCAGCAGCCGCGGUAAUACGGAGGGUGCUAGCGUUAAUCAGAAUUACUGGGCGUAAAGAGCGCGUAGGCUGAUUAGUAAGUUAAAAGUGAAAUCCCAAAGCUUAACUUGGAAUUGCUUUUUAAAACUGCUAGUCUAGAGAUUGAAAGAGGAUAGAGGAAUUCCUAGUGUAGAGGUGAAAUUCGUAAAUAUUAGGAGGAACACCAGUGGCGAAGGCGUCUAUCUGGUUCAAAUCUGACGCUGAGGGCGCGAAGGCGUGGGGAGCAAACAGGGAUUAGAUACC
Molecule: ribosomal RNA, 455 nt
Filed under: uncultured bacterium
Lineage: Bacteria
Description: bacterial SSU rRNA
Rfam family: Bacterial small subunit ribosomal RNA
Source: RNAcentral